RNAcentral lists this unclassified non-coding RNA (169 nucleotides) under soil metagenome. Its description in RNAcentral is "partial contains 5.8S ribosomal RNA, internal transcribed spacer 2, and large subunit ribosomal RNA". The record is from RNAcentral.
AAGACUAUAGACCUGCGGAGUACCUGCGGAGGGAUCAUUAGUGAACGCCCCCACGGGCUUAUAACUAUUCCAAACCUCUGUGAACCGUGCCCUUCGGGGCUAUUUUACAAACAUGGUGUAAUGAACGUCAUAUAUCAUAACAAAACAAAACUUUCAGCAAUGGAUCUCU